CAUAUAGCGAGUGAUCUUCUCCUCCCUUGAUCGCUCGCACCGGAUCGGCGGCGCUCCUCCUCCCAGUUGCCGAUCACAGUUUGGAAAGCCUGCCGCACCUCCUCCCGCGGCAGGCUUUUCUG
This 122-nucleotide small RNA is filed under the name Shinella sp. WSC3-e. RNAcentral describes it as "ar14". It matches the Rfam family "Alphaproteobacterial ar14". From Rfam's summary of the family: Smr14C2 was renamed NfeR1 (Nodule Formation Efficiency RNA) highly expressed in salt stress and during the symbiotic interaction on legume roots. The record is from RNAcentral. Lineage: Bacteria; Pseudomonadati; Pseudomonadota; Alphaproteobacteria; Hyphomicrobiales; Rhizobiaceae.